Molecule: long non-coding RNA, 639 nt
Organism: Drosophila grimshawi
Lineage: Eukaryota; Metazoa; Arthropoda; Insecta; Diptera; Drosophilidae
Exons: 3
Source: RefSeq, a predicted model, not a curated record
CGGUCAAACGGCCAAGGUUAUUGAAACAAAGAAGUCGUGGCAUUACAAAUAGAUAUAUUACUGUGAAAGUGCGGUGGAUAAUAAAAAGGCCAUUCUUGGGCAAAGAGUAUGGACCAGACCUGCCACCAGUGAGCCAGCUGCACGCCUUCAUAAGGUACACCGCGGGAGUGAUUCACCCCGACGAGGUUGUAAUUAGUCAACCUUACUUCAUUGCAUCGACAUCAGAAGCGUCGCAGGCAGCGGGACGGAAGUGAGGAAGUGCGUUUAAUCCAAGAGGACAACUUCAUCCCACGGACCCCGACUUAGCGCAUAUUCGCUAUAUUGAAAUCAAGUAAUUCCGAAUUAAUAUCAGCUAGUGCCAGAUUACCUUAAAAGUUAAGCAAAGAAGACGUGAAUGAUCAGUCAGCGGUGUGGUGCACGCCUACUUACAAACACAAGCAAUUUUUUUUGAGAUAAGUGCUUAUCAGCUUUUGUGCUUCGUAAAAGCGCGGAUGAACAGGCCAUAAAGUUUGAAAAGGUCACUUGCUAAUAAAAUUCAGCGUAUUUAAACAAGCGCAACUCGUAAUUGGCAAAAUGCCCUAAAUUACUUUGAAUGUAUCCAAAUCAUUAAUAGUAAGAAAUAUAAUUAUUGAAGUUUUU